Molecule: ribosomal RNA, 378 nt
Filed under: uncultured eukaryote
Lineage: Eukaryota
Description: partial 18S ribosomal RNA
Rfam family: Eukaryotic small subunit ribosomal RNA
Source: RNAcentral
CAAUAGCGUAUAUUAAAGUUGUUGCAGUUAAAAAGCUCGUAGUCGGAUUUCGACCGCAGCUGUGCGGUCCGCUGAGUGCGGCUACUGCACGGUUGGGUCUCUCAUCUGGUCUGUCCCAUGCUACUCUUCAGUGAGUGGCAUGGGUAGCCGGAACGUUUACUUUGAGAAAAUCAGCGUGCUCAAAGCAGGCUUACUGCUCGAAUAGUAGUGCAUGGAAUGAUAGAAUAGGACCUUCGGCCCUAUUUGUUGGUUUUUGGACCGAGGUAAUGGUUAAUAGAGACAGACGGGGGCAUUCGUACUGCGGUGUUAGAGGUGAAAUUCGAAGAUCGCCGCAAGACGAACAACAGCGAAAGCAUUUGCCAUGGAUGUUUUCAUUGA